This 542-nucleotide ribosomal RNA is filed under the name Fellomyces horovitziae. RNAcentral's name for it is "eukaryotic LSU rRNA". The stretch from base 148 to 301 matches the Rfam family "5.8S ribosomal RNA". The record is from RNAcentral. Lineage: Eukaryota; Fungi; Basidiomycota; Tremellomycetes; Tremellales; Cuniculitremaceae.
UCCGUAGGUGAACCUGCGGAAGGAUCAUUAGUGAAUCGGCCCUCUGUGGCCACAAUCACAUCCUCACACCUCUGUGAACCGUUGGACCUCUGGGUCCACCUUUACAAAACUAUUGUUGUCAUGAACGUGAAAUGUAUAAACAAGUAAAACUUUCAACAACGGAUCUCUUGGCUCUCGCAUCGAUGAAGAACGCAGCGAAAUGCGAUAAGUAAUGUGAAUUGCAGAAUUCAGUGAAUCAUCGAAUCUUUGAACGCAACUUGCGCCUCUUGGUAUUCCGAGAGGCAUGCCUGUUUGAGUGUCAUGAAUACCUCAACCCCCCGGGUUCCUUGUGGACCCAGGGCGGCUUGGAGAUGGGCGUCUGCCGGUGUCGAGCCGGCUCGCCUCAAAGGUCUCAGUGGGAUCCUCGACCCCAUGCCUGACGUAAUAAGUUUCGUCUGGGCUGGGCCGUGGGAUGUCUGCUCACAACCCCUCAUAUUCUGUGACUCUGACCUCAAAUCAGGUAGGGCUACCCGCUGAACUUAAGCAUAUCAAUAAGCGGAGGA